UUCUCUUUGACCCUUAUCUUCUUUUAACAGAACAUUUAACUCUCCUUCAACUCUGUAUCUCUCUUGUAAUUCUCUUUUCCACUCUCUUACACUUCUCUCUCGCUACAUAAAUCCUCACUUCUUCAAUACAAUUCUUCUAAGUAAUAUCACGCACUUGGCUUCUUCAGCCCUGGGAAUCGAAGCUUAAAAUUUAGUGGAUUUGUGCUUUUAUUUGAGUUUUGGAUCAUUGGAGCUAGGGGUUAGUAGACUUCUAUGUUUAGUUUGACUUUGGUAUCAGUUUUGUGCUUCGAAUUCAGGAAUAAUGAUGGGAACACUGCAGAAGACUUGUUGCCGAAAGACUACAAAAAUAAACAACAAGCAGCUGAGAAAGCAGGGAAAGAAAUGAAUCAAGGCUUAAUGGUUGUGGCAGCAUUGAUUACCACUGUGAGUUUUGUUGUUGUUUUCAGUCUUCCUGAAGGAUUUGAUCAAAAUAAAGGGAAUACCCUGUUUUUUUUAACAGAGAAGGUCAUCGUCAUGAUUUAAAUUUGUUUCUAAGAAUUUUGGGAAUGCCUUAGAAGUACAAGAACCUGUUGAAGAAGAGCAACAUGGCAAACCAAUAACCUCCGAAUUUGUAUCUACGCACUCUGAGAUUUCAGAAAGAGAAGCAACUACAGAUUGGUCAAGUUCAGAGUAUAACACACAUUCUGUUGGAAAUUUAGACACUGUAUUAAUUUGUGAGAAAUACCGGUUAAGUCAAACCGCGUAAGUAGAAGAAAGAAAAUCUUGUUUACAAAUAUCUAUUGUAGUUAGUUUAUGUAGAUUUAUACUGGUUUGCAUAGGUUUUAGUAUAAUGAUGCUUGGCUUUCGGGUUGUGUAGUGAUAUUGUUUGGAUUAUGAUUUAGCUAGUGGGUAUGUAUGUUUGGAGUGAUUUAUGUUAUUGAUUGUGUAAUAUACUGAUAAAUUGGAAUAAAUGGUUUAUUAUAUUUUUAGAA
Long non-coding RNA from Daucus carota subsp. sativus, 971 nucleotides. RefSeq lists it as uncharacterized. Lineage: Eukaryota; Viridiplantae; Streptophyta; Magnoliopsida; Apiales; Apiaceae. The record is from RefSeq and is a predicted model, not a curated record. The transcript is spliced from 4 exons.